AUUGAACGCUGGCGGAAUGCUUUACACAUGCAAGUCGAACGGCAGCACGGACUUCGGUCUGGUGGCGAGUGGCGAACGGGUGAGUAAUAUAUCGGAACGUAUCCAAUAAUGGGGGAUAACUAAUCGAAAGGUUGGCUAAUACCGCAUACGCCCUACGGGGGAAAGCUAGGGACCUUCGGGCCUGGCGUUAAUGGAGCGGCUGAUAUCUGAUUAGCUAGUAGGUGAGGUAAAGGCUCACCUAGGCGACGAUCAGUAGCUGGUCUGAGAGGACGACCAGCCACACUGGAACUGAGACACGGUCCAGACUCCUACGGGAGGCAGCAGUGGGGAAUUUUGGACAAUGGGCGAAAGCCUGAUCCAGCCAUUCCGCGUGAGUGAAGAAGGCCUUCGGGUUGUAAAGCUCUUUCGCAAGGGAAGAAAACUUAGGCGCUAAUAUCGCUUGAGGUUGACGGUACCUUGAUAAGAAGCACCGGCUAACUACGUGCCAGCAGCCGCGGUAAUACGUAGGGUGCGAGCGUUAAUCGGAAUUACUGGGCGUAAAGCGUGCGCAGGCGGUUUUGUAAGUCAGAUGUGAAAUCCCCGAGCUCAACUUGGGAACUGCGUUUGAAACUAUAAGACUAGAAUAUGUCAGAGGGGGGUAGAAUUCCACGUGUAGCAGUGAAAUGCGUAGAGAUGUGGAGGAAUACCAAUGGCGAAGGCAGCCCCCUGGGAUAAUAUUGACGCUCAUGCACGAAAGCGUGGGGAGCAAACAGGAUUAGAUACCCUGGUAGUCCACGCCCUAAACGAUGUCUACUAGUUGUUGGUGGAGUAAAAUCCAUGAGUAACGCAGCUAACGCGUGAAGUAGACCGCCUGGGGAGUACGGUCGCAAGAUUA
RNAcentral lists this ribosomal RNA (874 nucleotides) under uncultured bacterium. Its description in RNAcentral is "bacterial SSU rRNA". It matches the Rfam family "Bacterial small subunit ribosomal RNA", at positions 28 to 896 of the family's 1533-position model. The record is from RNAcentral.